AUUGAACGCUGGCGGAAUGCUUUACACAUGCAAGUCGAACGGCAGCACGGACUUCGGUCUGGUGGCGAGUGGCGAACGGGUGAGUAAUGUAUCGGAACGUGCCCAGUCGUGGGGGAUAACGUAGUGAAAAUUACGCUAAUACCGCAUACGAUCUAUGGAUGAAAGCGGGGGAUCGCAAGACCUCGCGCGAUUGGAGCGGCCGAUAUCAGAUUAGGUAGUUGGUGGGGUAAAGGCCCACCAAGUGAACGAUCUGUAGCUGGUCUGAGAGGACGACCAGCCACACGGGAGCUGAGGGACGGUCCAGACUCCUCCGGGAGGCAGCAUUGGGGAAUUUUGGACAAUGGGCGAAAGCCUGAUCCAGCCAUUCCGCGUGCAGGAUGAAGGCCCUCGGGUUGUAACUGCUUUUGUACAGAACGAAAAGGUUUCUACUAAUACUAGGAGCUCAUGACGGUACUGUAAGAAUAAGCACCGGCUAACUACGUGCCAGCCGCCGCCGUAA
Molecule: ribosomal RNA, 499 nt
Filed under: uncultured bacterium
Lineage: Bacteria
Description: partial 16S ribosomal RNA
Rfam family: Bacterial small subunit ribosomal RNA
Source: RNAcentral